This 250-nucleotide ribosomal RNA is filed under the name uncultured prokaryote. Its description in RNAcentral is "partial 16S ribosomal RNA". It matches the Rfam family "Archaeal small subunit ribosomal RNA", at positions 474 to 724 of the family's 1478-position model. The record is from RNAcentral.
UACCGGUGGUCCGAGUGGUAGCCGCUUUUAUUUGGUCUAAAGGGUCCGUAGCCGGUCCGGUCAGUCCAUUGGUAAAUCCGCGCGCUCAACACGCGGUCUUCAGUGGAUACUUCCGGACUUGGGACCGGGAGAGGUAAGAGGUACUAUAGGGGUAGGAGUGAAAUCCUGUAAUCCUUAUGAGACCACCUGUGGCGAAGGCGUCUUACCGGAACGGGUCCGACGGUGAGGGACGAAAGCUGGGGGCACGAAC